This 446-nucleotide ribosomal RNA is filed under the name uncultured bacterium. Its description in RNAcentral is "partial 16S ribosomal RNA". It matches the Rfam family "Bacterial small subunit ribosomal RNA", at positions 338 to 795 of the family's 1533-position model. The record is from RNAcentral.
CCUACGGGCGGCAGCAGUCGAGAAUCAUUCACAAUGGGGGAAACCCUGAUGGUGCGACGCCGCGUGGGAGAAUGAAGGUCUUCGGAUUGUAAACCCCUGUCAUGUGGGAGCAAAUUAAAAAGAUAGUACCACAAGAGGAAGAGACGGCUAACUCUGUGCCAGCAGCCGCGGUAAUACAGAGGUCUCAAGCGUUGUUCGGAAUCACUGGGCGUAAAGCGUGCGGAGGCGGUUUCGUAAGUCGUGUGUGAAAGGCGGGGGCUCAACCCGCGGACGGCACAUGAUACUGCGAGACUAGAGUAAUGGAGGGGGAACCGGAAUUCUCGGUGUAGCAGUGAAAUGCGUAGAUAUCGAGAGGAACACUCGUGGCGAAGGCGGGUUCCUGGACAUUAACUGACGCUGAGGCACGAAGGCCAGGGGAGCGAAAGGGAUUAGAUACCCCAGUAGUC